This 253-nucleotide ribosomal RNA is filed under the name uncultured bacterium. Its description in RNAcentral is "partial 16S ribosomal RNA". It matches the Rfam family "Bacterial small subunit ribosomal RNA", at positions 524 to 776 of the family's 1533-position model. The record is from RNAcentral.
UACGAAGGGGGCUAGCGUUGCUCGGAAUCACUGGGCGUAAAGGGUGCGUAGGUGGCUCUAUAAGUAUGGUGUGAAAUCUCCCGGCUUAACUGGGAGGGUGCGCCGUAGACUGUGGGGCUAGAGUGUGGGAGAGGAAAGUGGAAUUCCUGGUGUAGCGGUGAAAUGCGUAGAUAUCAGGAGGAACACCGGUGGUGUAAACGGCUUUCUGGACCAUAACUGACACUGAGGCACGAAAGCGUGGGUAGCAAACAGG